AACUGAUACUACCUGCGGGAACCUGCGGAAGGAUCAUUGUCGAUAUAUUCGAGGGAGACCUCGUUCAAUAUAUAAACAAACACCUCGUGCACCUCUACGUGAAAGGAAGUUGUAAAAGGCUUCCGUUCCGUAUUUUUCUUAUAAAUGCCUUCUGUCGUUUAACGCGUGUUAUGUUGAUAUAAUUUGAAACACAACUUUUAACAACGGAUCUCU
RNAcentral lists this unclassified non-coding RNA (213 nucleotides) under soil metagenome. RNAcentral's name for it is "partial contains 5.8S ribosomal RNA, internal transcribed spacer 2, and large subunit ribosomal RNA". The record is from RNAcentral.